Molecule: ribosomal RNA, 253 nt
Filed under: uncultured bacterium
Lineage: Bacteria
Description: partial 16S ribosomal RNA
Rfam family: Bacterial small subunit ribosomal RNA
Source: RNAcentral
UACGUAGGGGGCAAGCGUUGUCCGGAAUCAUUGGGCGUAAAGCGCGUGUAGGCGGUUCGGUAAGUCGGCUGUGAAAGUCCAGGGCUCAACCCUGGGAUGCCGGUCGAUACUGCCGGACUAGAGUUCGGAAGAGGCGAGUGGAAUUCCCGGUGUAGCGGUGAAAUGCGCAGAUAUCGGGAGGAACACCAAUGGCGAAGGCAGCUCGCUGGGACGUUACUGACGCUGAGGUGCGAAAGCGUGGGGAGCAAACAGG